Molecule: long non-coding RNA, 950 nt
Organism: Peromyscus eremicus (cactus mouse)
Lineage: Eukaryota; Metazoa; Chordata; Mammalia; Rodentia; Cricetidae
Exons: 4
Source: RefSeq, a predicted model, not a curated record
AGGCCUGCGCUGGGCAGAAACACAGGAAGCAGCGCUGAGCGCUGGGCAGCAUUGUCAGCCCGUAAAAAACAAAACAGGACAAAAAGAUUUAAUGAGAACAAUUAGCCCAAAGAAAGAGGAAAAAAAAAAAAGGCCAAAAAAACAAACAAAGCCAAACAGCCUGAAGACAGGGGCUGGCGGGUCUCCAAGGACCCCAUGUUUUCCCUCCCACACAAUUAUCUUCAGCAUCCUCGGCAUCUUCCUUUCCAACUCCCUUCAGUGAGCUGGUACAGCGCAGGAGGUGCAGAUGUUUGCGGAAUGAGUUAAUGCAUACAUUGACUUCCUUGGAGGCCAGUGGCAGUUCAUUGUUAACUAACUAGCACCAGAGGCUGCCUGCAGAAGCUGUGGCCCAGAUUGAAGGUGGAUCUUCCCAUCUCAAAAGCCAGAUUGAAUAGUAGGCUAUGGCUCUGGGAAAGCACCAUAGAAGCCUUGACCUCUGCUCAGGAGUUGGAAAACAAUCAACCCUGUGAGUGAUCUGACCGCUGGAGACGAGAAUCCCUUCAAAGGAGCGGAGGAAUGAAGAUUAUUGGGAACACCAAGUAACUUAUCAGAAGCAGCGGGACAGUAGACACAAAGGAAAGGCUGCCUGAGGAGCCAGCCACAGCACCUGAGAGAGACACUUCCCUUCUGAAGGCAGCACAUCGAGUCUCCACAUUGCAGGAAGCCAUAAAGCCAGGCAUUGGAAACUGAUGACCACGGGCCAGAGAGCUGGCUCAGCGGUUAAGAGCACUGUUGCUCUUGCAGAGGACCAAGGUUUGGUUCCCAGCACCCACACGACAGUUUGCAGUACCUGUAAGUCCAGUUCUAGGGACUCUGAUGCCCUCUUCUGACUUCUGAAGACACUGCAGGCACGAGGUGUACUUACAUCAUGUGGGCUCACACACUCAUACAGAUAAAAAUUUUAAAAAUCA